Molecule: long non-coding RNA, 353 nt
Filed under: Parus major (Great Tit)
Lineage: Eukaryota; Metazoa; Chordata; Aves; Passeriformes; Paridae
Description: lncRNA (ENSPMJG00000011396.1)
Source: RNAcentral
CCACCAUCUUGAGGGGAAGAUGGAGGAGUACAUAAGAUGGUGAAAGGACAGCUGAGGCAAGGUGAAUAUACCUGGACAGUAGAAAAGGUCUUCUAACACAGGAGCCACUAGAAACAGUGGGGAGCAGGAUGCAGACACUGAGCUGAAUGACUCGAGCUCAGAUUUGCCUGAAUGAGCAUUUGAGGUUCCAAUUAAAUCCUUGUUUCGGCCAUUGCAUUGCCUGCCAGUAGUUAAUCUUUCUCGAAAGCCUCAUCACUUAUCUAAAACAAAAGAAGAACGAGGAGGAUGAACUGGAUGAUCAUAGAGGGGUCUUCUCUCUACUUUGAAAUCCAUGCAUGUAUGUAAUAAAUGGG